This 164-nucleotide ribosomal RNA is filed under the name Charadranaetes durandii. RNAcentral's name for it is "5.8S ribosomal RNA". It matches the Rfam family "5.8S ribosomal RNA". Rfam says of the family: 5.8S ribosomal RNA (5.8S rRNA) is a component of the large subunit of the eukaryotic ribosome. It is transcribed by RNA polymerase I as part of the 45S precursor that also contains 18S and 28S rRNA. Functionally, it is thought that 5.8S rRNA may be involved in ribosome translocation. The record is from RNAcentral. RNAcentral also lists the same sequence under 1 other name. Lineage: Eukaryota; Viridiplantae; Streptophyta; Magnoliopsida; Asterales; Asteraceae.
CAAAGGACUCUCGRCAACGGAUAUCUCGGCUCACGCAUCGAUGAAGAACGUAGCAAAAUGCGAUACUUGGUGUGAAUUGCAGAAUCCCGUGAACCAUCGAGUUUUUGAACGCAAGUUGCGCCCGAAGCCUUUUGGCCAAGGGCACGUCUGCCUGGGCGUCACAC